GUUUGGCUCCCAAGAGCUGAACCAUUUCACUUUAUUUUUUCCUGUAAUUUUAGCUGUUGUAAUUAUGUGUUCCUGCUGAGUAAAGGGCAGAGUGGAACUUUCAACAUAUCAGGAGGAAGAGAUAGCACGAGUGUGCAUGCUCAGAAGAAAGGUUAUGGGAGGACACAAUGAAGAUGCCCAUCUGCAAAUGAAGGAGAGAAACCUCACCAGCAACUAUCCCUGCCAGCACUAUAAUCUUGGGCUUCCAAGCUCCAGAACUCACUGCUCCUUCUGCUGCCACGUGAGAAGGAUGUGUUUGCUUCCUCUUCUGCCAUGAUUUUGUUUCCUGAGACCUCCCCAGCUCUGCAGAAGUGUUUCUCCUGUGGCUGCAGCCAGAGGUAGUCAAGACUGGAACAUUCAAAAUGGCAUCUCCUUGGAGACAGAUCAAAAGCUGAAAUCUUCCUCUGGCAGCUAUCUUCAAAAGUACCACCUCCAACAUUGGGGAUCAAAUUUAAGCACGGUAUUUGAAGAAGACAAACGUCCAAAAAAUGGCAAGGAUCUUAAGAAAAUUUUUCAUGAUAAUCUGAGUGGACCUUACUUGAAUUCAUUGAAAGAGUUUAAGUGUGGAACUGGAGGGGAAAAAAAAGUCACUGUGGAUUACAGCUUCAUCUCCUGCCCAAGAGAUAACAGCCUGACCUUUCUGGAAGCCUGCCUUAUAGACUUAGAACUUGUCUAUUGAGCCACCAGAGUGGUCAUUCUAGGUGGAAGGGACUUGCCUAUUCUCAGAUGAGACUUUGGACUUGAACUUUUUGGUUAAUGCUGG
Long non-coding RNA from Pan paniscus (pygmy chimpanzee), 802 nucleotides. Lineage: Eukaryota; Metazoa; Chordata; Mammalia; Primates; Hominidae. The record is from Ensembl.